UACGUAGGGGGCUAGCGUUGUCCGGAAUCAUUGGGCGUAAAGAGCGUGUAGGCGGUCCGGUAAGUCCGCUGUGAAAGUCGGGGGCUCAACCCUCGAAUGCCGGUGGAUACUGUCGGGCUAGAGUGCGGAAGAGGCGAGUGGAAUUCCUGGUGUAGCGGUGAAAUGCGCAGAUAUCAGGAGGAACACCUAUUGCGAAGGCAGCUCGCUGGGACGGUACUGACGCUGAGACGCGAAAGCGUGGGGAGCAAACAGG
Molecule: ribosomal RNA, 253 nt
Filed under: uncultured bacterium
Lineage: Bacteria
Description: partial 16S ribosomal RNA
Rfam family: Bacterial small subunit ribosomal RNA
Source: RNAcentral